UCUUAAUCCUGGGAUUAGGACCUGAACCCAAGGCAAUGGCUUAACUGACUGAGCCACCCAGGUGCCCCUCACAACAUUUUAAUAAUGUGCAACUGAAUAAUGAUUUGUUUUUGAAGGGACAGGCAUACAAUAGGAAUGCGUACUUUUUCCUCUGAGAGAGACAUACUAUAGGACAUGGUUACACAGAUUUUCUUCCUUCUAAAAAUCUGAACUGAUGGUAAAGCUUCUCAUAUUUAGUGGGGUUGAUGUUCUCAUGGAGGGUCUGUUGAAAAUGUCAUUACCAUUGGAGACUUCAGUAUGGAUUUGGUGUUUCAUCAGCCAUGCUCAGACUUCCAUGUGAAGGGAACUGUGACCAUACCUUUUAUACAUUUGAAAGGUAUUUCCCAGGAGGAAAUAGGAGAAUUGAGGGCAGACCUGUUUAUUCACAGAAUCUGGAGGGCAGUUUGCAGCACAUUGAGAAGUGCUUUCGGCCUUUCUUAUGAUUUGUAGAGUGCCUAAUAAAUUCUAGAUAUUAAAAGGUUGAAUGGAAUUGACCCAACACCAAAAAGUACCAAAUACAGAGUGAUGGUCCAAAAGAAUUGGUGAGAUUCUAGGUCACCAUCAGAAGGAAUCAAUACAAUAUAGUGGUUUCUGUGGCUUGGAUUUUGUCAGAAGUAACAAGAAGAAAUGUAAGACCAAGAGAAUUAUCACAUUAUCUCAGUUGGGACCCAUCCCACGGGAUACUUGGUCUCUGAUAGUAGCCAGAUCAGUGUGUCCCCGUGGGCCAGGCUUUGCACACAGUAGGCACACUAACAUAGCUCUAUUUUAUAGUCUAUGAUUUUAUAUUCUAUGCAACUUUCAUUCUAGCAGUGUGUAGCAAUCUCCAAGCUCUAGCUACUAAUGCUUUAUUUUAGGGAAACCACCAAUUCAUUUUAUAAAAUCAUGAAGUCUACUUGAUUCCUUCUAGACCUAGAAAGUUCAUCUGGUCUACCUUCUGGUUUCUUUUACACCAAUAGGAUUCCUAGACUGUCUUUGUCUUAUUUUCAGAUGUUUCUAAGGAUAGUUUCAUGAGUCUUCUCUGUAGCUUGCUAAAAUAUCCGAUUAUUAUUUUAAUAGUAUUUUUCUUAGCUUAAACCAAACUGUGUUGCUCCAUUUGAAGCCUUUCUUUUCAUGAGGGAGCAGUCAUUUCUCCUCAUUUUUAGAAAUAAAAAAAAAAAAAGAGCCACUAGCUUAAGUGAUUCCCUUCUGCCUGAAAACCAUACAGCUAGUUGUCAAUUUCUUAUUACCUCCACUCUUGAGCAAAUACCGAGCACCCACCUUGUGCCUUGGUAGUUUGUAGGGCUUGUGCAGUCUUUCCCC
Mustela erminea (ermine) is the source of this 1338-nucleotide long non-coding RNA. RefSeq lists it as uncharacterized. The record is from RefSeq and is a predicted model, not a curated record. NCBI's taxonomy places the organism in Eukaryota, Metazoa, Chordata, Mammalia, Carnivora, Mustelidae. The transcript is spliced from 3 exons.